AACCAUUCUCACCUGCGGCUAGACCUGCGGAAGGAUCAUUACCGAGUGUGGCCCCCCUAAAAAAAGGGGGGUACCUCCCGUCCUUUGCAGGGCCCUUUGGGGCUUUUUGAACUUUGCUUCGGCGGGGUUAUCCCGCCGGAACACCCUUAAGAAAAUCUUUUUAAAAAAAACUGUUGUCUGGGCACUUUUGCGAAUAAAACAAAACUUUCAACAACGGAUCU
This 221-nucleotide unclassified non-coding RNA is filed under the name soil metagenome. RNAcentral's name for it is "partial contains 5.8S ribosomal RNA, internal transcribed spacer 2, and large subunit ribosomal RNA". The record is from RNAcentral.